Molecule: transfer RNA, 69 nt
Filed under: Psyllaephagus sp.
Lineage: Eukaryota; Metazoa; Arthropoda; Insecta; Hymenoptera; Encyrtidae
Description: tRNA-His
Source: RNAcentral
AUUUAAAUAAUUUAAUUUAAAAUAUUGAUUUGUGGAAUCAAAAAUAUAGUUAUAAAAUUAUUUUAAAUU